Molecule: long non-coding RNA, 1274 nt
Filed under: Sus scrofa (pig)
Lineage: Eukaryota; Metazoa; Chordata; Mammalia; Artiodactyla; Suidae
Description: lncRNA (ENSSSCG00015022357.1)
Source: RNAcentral
CAGGCACUGGCCCAGGCCAUCAGGGAAGCCAGGGAGCAGCACCCUGACAUGUCAGUCACGCGGGUGGUGGUGCACAAAGAAACCGAGUUGGAGGAGGGGGAUGAGUAAGAUAUCCUCUUUUUAGACCACAACAUUCAACUUUGUGAACCAGAAGAAUUUUGACCAUUCCAAGUCUUAAUGCCACCACUGCUCCAGCAAAUUUAUACGACUGUUAACAAUGGCCAGAAGCCUGAAGAAUUAAAAUGCCAACACCAAACCUUACCUUAACAGCUCUGGUCUAUACCAUUCCCACGCAUUUUAAUAUGUUGUUUUGUUUUAUAACCACUCCUAAAUAUUCUUGAUUCUUUCUUUUUUUUUUCUGAUAGUUUUGUUUUUGUUUUCUCUUUACUUUGUGUACAACUACCUGCUUUUUACAACUCAUUUUGAUCAAAUGAUAGUGAACAAAGCCAGCCCAAGCUGGUAAGGUGCUGUUCGCUUGAACAGGUGCUGUUGUGCGGAAAGGAAACUCUGUGACUAAUUUAGAUAGUAGCUUUCCUUCUUUCCAAAUUCUUCCCACGGAGUUCUUACAAGUAAAUAUUUACAGAGUUUUCAGAUUGCCGUAAAUAUACUGUAUGAGAAAAUAUUAAUGCAGAUUUAAAAGCAUUUCUUACAUCAAGAAAAUUUUCUAGUGUUGGAGAAUUUCGUUGGGGAUAUUUUUGAUACUGAACCCUUUUGACUUUCCAGUCCUGUGACUUUUUACUUUUAGCGGAAAGUCCGGGAGUCUCCAGACUGGAGAAUUACGCAGAAGUUCACUGACCACGCACUGUGCUAGAGACCCUGUCGCACCACAGUGCCGAUGCUUCUCAGACACAGGCUCUUCAGCAGCACUCCAGCCACCGGAGGGGGAGAAAAACAUCUCUUCCCUCUCGCUAAAACAUUCAGGCAGCUUAAAACCUUAGUGCUUUCUUUCUUAACAUGUCCAAAUUUCAAUACUUUCCAUUAUUUGAACCCUCGUGUAUCACUUUCAGGUAGUGUGAUGAUUCAUGCAGGGGUGAGGAGGCCAGGAGAGGAGGAAGGCUAUGGCGGUGUUUGUGACGGUUGUAAGAAAACUGUGCCGUUUAAAGCUGACACCAGAUAACCUGCUAGGGACUUAUUAACUGUAUUGAACAUUCUUUCCCUUGCUUUGCCCCUGUGUAUAAUUAGAAUGCCAAGAUUAGCUACCUAGCAGCUUCAAGUUGUAUUAAAUGAUAUUUUGCUUUCUGUAAUACUGUUAUAAAAUAAAGUUUGUUUAUUCU